RNAcentral lists this ribosomal RNA (253 nucleotides) under uncultured bacterium. Its description in RNAcentral is "partial 16S ribosomal RNA". It matches the Rfam family "Bacterial small subunit ribosomal RNA", at positions 524 to 776 of the family's 1533-position model. The record is from RNAcentral.
UACGUAGGGUGCGAGCGUUGUCCGGAAUUAUUGGGCGUAAAGAGCUCGUAGGCGGCCUGUCACGUCGGUUGUGAAAGCCCGGGGCUUAACCCCGGGUCUGCAGUCGAUACGGGCAGGCUAGAGUUCGGUAGGGGAGAUCGGAAUUCCUGGUGUAGCGGUGAAAUGCGCAGAUAUCAGGAGGAACACCGGUGGCGAAGGCGGAUCUCUGGGCCGAUACUGACGCUGAGGAGCGAAAGCGUGGGGAGCGAACAGG